This 262-nucleotide unclassified non-coding RNA is filed under the name plant metagenome. RNAcentral describes it as "partial contains small subunit ribosomal RNA, internal transcribed spacer 1, and 5.8S ribosomal RNA". The record is from RNAcentral.
UCUCCGUUGGUGAACCAGCGGAGGGAUCAUUACCGAGUUUACAACUCCCAAACCCCUAUGUGAACGUUACCAAACUGUUGCCUCGGCGGGAAAUUCAUGCCCCGGGCGCGUCGCAGCCCCGGACCAAGGCGCCCGCCGGAGGACCAACCAAAACUCUUUUGUAUGUCCCUCGCGGACUUUUAUAAUUCUGAACCAUCUCGGCGCCCCUAGCGGGCGUUUCGAAAAUGAAUCAAAACUUUCAACAACGGAUCUCUUGGCUCUC